This 448-nucleotide ribosomal RNA is filed under the name uncultured organism. Its description in RNAcentral is "partial 16S ribosomal RNA". It matches the Rfam family "Bacterial small subunit ribosomal RNA", at positions 333 to 797 of the family's 1533-position model. The record is from RNAcentral.
ACACUCCUACGGGAGGCAACAGUGGGGAAUAUUGGACAAUGGGCGCAAGCCUGAUCCAGCCAUGCCGCGUGAGUGAUGAAGGCCCUAGGGUUGUAAAGCUCUUUCACCGGUGAAGAUAAUGACGGUAACCGGAGAAGAAGCCCCGGCUAACUUCGUGCCAGCAGCCGCGGUAAUACGAAGGGGGCUAGCGUUGUUCGGAUUUACUGGGCGUAAAGCGCACGUAGGCGGACUAUUAAGUCAGGGGUGAAAUCCCGGGGCUCAACCCCGGAACUGCCUUUGAUACUGGUAGUCUUGAGUUCGAGAGAGGUGAGUGGAAUUCCGAGUGUAGAGGUGAAAUUCGUAGAUAUUCGGAGGAACACCAGUGGCGAAGGCGGCUCACUGGCUCGAUACUGACGCUGAGGUGCGAAAGCGUGGGGAGCAAACAGGAUUAGAUACCCGAGUAGUCCCA